Molecule: transfer RNA, 85 nt
Filed under: Flavobacteriales bacterium
Lineage: Bacteria; Pseudomonadati; Bacteroidota; Flavobacteriia; Flavobacteriales
Description: tRNA-Ser
Rfam family: tRNA
About the family: Transfer RNA (tRNA) molecules are approximately 80 nucleotides in length.
Source: RNAcentral
AGAAGGGUGGCCGAGUGGUUUAAGGCGCACGCCUGGAAAGCGUGUUGGCGGCAACGCCUCGAGGGUUCGAAUCCCUUCCCUUCUG